Molecule: long non-coding RNA, 1355 nt
Filed under: Marmota monax (woodchuck)
Lineage: Eukaryota; Metazoa; Chordata; Mammalia; Rodentia; Sciuridae
Source: RNAcentral
AACAGGUCCUACAACUCCAUGUCCAGCAUCUGGAGUACAUGGCAUGAUGUCCUCUCCAAAGGGCUUGUGUAGCUCCAUCCCUGUAGCCUUGUUGGUUGCAGCCCAAGUGGCCUUUUGGUGAUGACAAAAGGAAGUCUAAUAGAGUAGAAGAAGGAGAUAGGAAAGAGGAGAGAAGAUGGUUUGUCUCUGCUCGAUUCCUGCAGCUUUCCUAGGGUGAUGUCCCACAUUAGUGGCAUUUCUUAAUCUCAGGGGUCCACUCUGCAGCUUUGGCUUCUUUACAUCUCCACACUUUGACUUCUCAGAAGGUGCCCACUGGGAUUCCAACCCUGCUGCACUUUGCCUGCCUUCCCAGGUCUUCCUUUGAAAUCCUGGUGAAAGGCUCCAUACACCUCAAACUCCAGCAUUCUGUAUUCUUGCAGAACCAGCACCAGGUGGUUGAUGCCAAGGUCUGCAGCCAUCUCAAGCAGUAGCCAAACCUCAAUGGACCCUGGCUGCAGAAGCUUCUGAGUGUCUAGGUGACUGAGCAUCUUGAAAAACUUCCUAGGCCACCACUUUGUACAAAAAGGGUUCCCACUGGUCUCUUCUCAAGAGAAUUUUCACUUUUACUCCCUUGAGCCUGAGAUGGGUGUGGUCUUGCCUGCUCCUGAGAUGCCCUCAAGCCAUCUUUUUUACUGUUUCUGGGCAGAGUCUUUGACAACUGUAACCUCCUUAGCCCCAGUUUUACUCCUGCCUUUCAAGUACAAGUUUUUCAAAUUUUUCUGCCCUGCUUUUUGCUCUGAAUAUUACAAUAAACUUGGUAAAAACCUCCACUUCCUGAAUGCUGUGCCACCUAGACAUUUCUUCCACCAGAUUAUGAAGUCCAUUGCUUUUAAAAUCAGCCUCACAGAAAGUCUCAGAAACUUCUCAGCCAGAACAUAACAUGAAUGGCUUAUAGUCCAAAUAUGAAUAAUGUCCUCCUCUUCCUCUAAAACCUCUUGAGCCCUGUCUUCACUGUCCACGUUUUUUUGGCAUUCUGAUAUUCUGGACUUCCACAAUAAUCGACCAUUAAGCUCUGCUUACCACAAUCAAAAGCAUUUGCAGCUUGCUCUGCUAUACCUCCCAAAAUUCCUCCAACUAAUUCCAAAAAGCUCCAAAGAUUUUGAACCACAUGGUCAGUUUAGUCACAGCAAUGACCCUACUUCUUGGUACCAAUUUCUGUUUUAGUCAGCUAUUUUGUCACUGUAACUAAAAGACCUAACCAGCACAAUUAUAGAGGAGGAGCAGUUUAUUUGAGGGCUGAUGGUUUCAAAGGUCUUAGUUCAUAGAUGGCUGGCUCCAUUCCUUGGGGCUCCAGGUCAGGCAGAACAUGAUGAAAG